This 576-nucleotide ribosomal RNA is filed under the name uncultured Bacteroidota bacterium. RNAcentral describes it as "bacterial SSU rRNA". It matches the Rfam family "Bacterial small subunit ribosomal RNA", at positions 338 to 916 of the family's 1533-position model. Lineage: Bacteria; Pseudomonadati; Bacteroidota. The record is from RNAcentral.
CCUACGGGAGGCAGCAGUGAGGAAUAUUGGACAAUGGGCGCAAGCCUGAUCCAGCCAUGCCGCGUGCAGGAUGAAGCAUCUAUGGUGUGUAAACUGCUUUUAUACAGGAAGAAACCCUCCCACGUGUGGGAGAUUGACGGUACUGUAGGAAUAAGGAUCGGCUAACUCCGUGCCAGCAGCCGCGGUAAUACGGAGGAUCCAAGCGUUAUCCGGAAUCAUUGGGUUUAAAGGGUCCGUAGGCGGCCUUAUAAGUCAGUGGUGAAAUCUCCCGGCUCAACCGGGAAAUGGCCAUUGAUACUGUAGGGCUUGAAUUAUUAGGAAGUAACUAGAAUAUGUAGUGUAGCGGUGAAAUGCUUAAAGAUUACAUGGAAUACCAAUUGCGAAGGCAGGUUACUACUAAUGGAUUGACGCUGAUGGACGAAAGCGUGGGUAGCGAACAGGAUUAGAUACCCUGGUAGUCCACGCCGUAAACGAUGGAUACUAGCUGUUGGGCGCGAGUUCAGUGGCUAAGCGAAAGUGAUAAGUAUCCCACCUGGGGAGUACGUUCGCAAGAAUGAAACUCAAAGGAAUUGACGG